GCGAACGCUGGCGGCAGGCUUAACACAUGCAAGUCGAGCGGGCAUCUUCGGAUGUCAGCGGCAGACGGGUGAGUAACACGUGGGAACGUACCCUUCGGUUCGGAACAACUCUGGGAAACUGGAGCUAAUACCGGAUACGCCCUUAUGGGGAAAGGUUUACUGCCGAAGGAUCGGCCCGCGUCUGAUUAGCUAGUUGGUGGGGUAACGGCCUACCAAGGCGACGAUCAGUAGCUGGUCUGAGAGGAUGAUCAGCCACACUGGGACUGAGACACGGCCCAGAAUCCUACGGGAGGCAGCAGUGGGGAAUAUUGGACAAUGGGCGCAAGCCUGAUCCAGCCAUGCCGCGUGAGUGAUGAAGGCCUUAGGGUUGUAAAGCUCUUUUGUCCGGGACGAUAAUGACGGUACCGGAAGAAUAAGCCCCGGCUAACUUCGUG
RNAcentral lists this ribosomal RNA (434 nucleotides) under uncultured bacterium. RNAcentral's name for it is "partial 16S ribosomal RNA". It matches the Rfam family "Bacterial small subunit ribosomal RNA", at positions 29 to 507 of the family's 1533-position model. The record is from RNAcentral.